This 358-nucleotide ribosomal RNA is filed under the name uncultured bacterium. Its description in RNAcentral is "bacterial SSU rRNA". It matches the Rfam family "Bacterial small subunit ribosomal RNA", at positions 357 to 707 of the family's 1533-position model. The record is from RNAcentral.
GGGAAUAUUGGACAAUGGGGGAAACCCUGAUCCAGCGACGCCGCGUGGGUGAAGAAGGCCUGCGGGUUGUAAAGCCCUUUCGGUUGGGAAGAAAAGUUGCGACCUAACACGUCGCGACCUUGACGUAACCAACUAAAGAAGCACCGGCUAACUCUGUGCCAGCAGCCGCGGUAAUCCAGAGGGUGCGAGCGUUAAUCGGAAUUACUGGGCGUAAAGCGCGCGUAGGCGGCUUGGCAAGUCGGGUGUGAAAUCCCCGGGCUCAACCUGGGAACUGCAUUCGGGACUGCUUUGCUAGAGUAUGGGAGAGGGGAGUGGAAUUUCCGGUGUAGCGAUGAAAUGCGUAGAUAUCGGAAGGAAC